GGCCGCUGCCCCGCAGCGCCGCCGGGUCACGUGACCGCACCUGCCUCGCUCCCUCGGGAGGUUUGGUCCCGUCACGUGACUGUCCAAUGAGCAUCUCCCGAUAAGUGCCAGCAGUGGCGCCGUCCAACAGCCGUCCGUCCAAUCGCAGCUCUAAUGCCUUCAUUUAUCCAGAUCACUUCCUUUAAGGAAAGCCAGCUGCCAUGUGGUGAGUGUCAGGCCUCUGAGCCCAAGCUAAGCCGUCAUAUCCCCUGUGACCUGCACGUACACAUCCAGAUGGCCGGAAGCAACUGAAGAUCCACAAAAGAAGUGAAAAUAGCCUUAACUGAUGACAUUCCACCAUGGUGAUUUGUUCCUGCCCCACUCUAACUGAUAUGAUAUAUUCUCCCCUCCACCCCACUUAAGAAGGUACUUUGCAAUAUUCUCCCCACUCUUGAGAAUGUAAUUUGUACACCUAUCCCAAACCUAUAAGAACUAAUGAUAAUCCCACCACCCUUUGCUGACUCCCUUACUCAGCCCACCUGCACCCAGGUGAAAUAAACAGCCUUGUUGCUCACACAAAGUCUGUUAGGUGGUCUCUUUGCACGGACACGUGUGACAGUGAGGACACUCAAGCAGUCAUACUCUGGCGAAACACGGGUGGCAGGAAACCAAGUC
This 654-nucleotide long non-coding RNA is filed under the name Homo sapiens (human). RNAcentral's name for it is "HSALNT0261230". Lineage: Eukaryota; Metazoa; Chordata; Mammalia; Primates; Hominidae. The record is from RNAcentral.